CAGUAGCCACGGUAAUACGGAGGGGGCUAGCGUUGUUCGGAAUUACGGGGCGUAAAGCGCACGUAGGCGGUUUCUCAAGUCAGAGGUGAAAGCCCGGAGCUCAACUUCGGAAUAGCCUUUGAAACUAGGAGACUUGAACGUCGGAGAGGUGAGUGGAAUUCCGAGUGUAGAGGUGAAAUUCGUAGAUAUUCGGAAGAACACCAGUGGCGAAGGCGGCUCACUGGACGACUGUUGACGCUGAGGUGCGAAAGCGUGGGGAGCAAACAGGAUUAGAUACCCCCGUAGUCCCUGUCUCUUAUAC
This 301-nucleotide ribosomal RNA is filed under the name uncultured bacterium. Its description in RNAcentral is "partial 16S ribosomal RNA". It matches the Rfam family "Bacterial small subunit ribosomal RNA", at positions 509 to 807 of the family's 1533-position model. The record is from RNAcentral.